Small nucleolar RNA from Grammomys surdaster, 111 nucleotides. RefSeq annotates it as small nucleolar RNA SNORA44. The transcript has a single exon. NCBI's taxonomy places the organism in Eukaryota, Metazoa, Chordata, Mammalia, Rodentia, Muridae. The record is from RefSeq and is a predicted model, not a curated record.
UAACAUUUGAAAUGUAAAUAAUGAAAAUAUCCACGUGCCAAAGUAAUGGAGAGACUUUGAUAGACCAGGUUAUCACAGUGCCUGCAGCUGCCACUCAGCUUGCCUAUAUAU